This 2061-nucleotide long non-coding RNA is filed under the name Prunus persica (peach). RNAcentral's name for it is "long non-coding RNA (PPER_LNC008712)". Lineage: Eukaryota; Viridiplantae; Streptophyta; Magnoliopsida; Rosales; Rosaceae. The record is from RNAcentral.
UUUUUUUUUUUUUAAAUUUUUUUAAUUUUUUUAAUUUUUUUUUUUUUUUAAUGAAAAGGUAGGCUACACCCUUUAAGUAGCAUGGUAUGUAUUUCACUUUUUUAAUUACUUUGAUUAGUAAAGGAGAAAAAGAAGAAGAGAAAAUUGAAUUACUAUUCAUUAAGUAAUAUAAUUCAUGAAGUUAAUUAAAAUAUUUAAUCAUAAUCAGUCAUUAAAUAAAUAAACUAAUUAAAAUAUAAUUGCUAAUUCAACUAAUUAAAUCUCCAAAUAUAUUAUGCAGUUACUAAAAAUAAAAUUUUUAUAAAUUAAUUAACCUAAACAUCCUAAGUUUAUACUUAUUUUUUAAAAUUAAGACCUUUCCCGACGAACUUUCGUCGGCAAAGAUAUUUUCGUCGGGGGAAACCUAAUCCGGCAAAUUUUGUCGGCAUAGAUCUUUGCCGACGAAAUUUCGUCGGGAGAAGUGUUCAUGUGUUUUUUUUUUUUUUUGAAAAGUAUAAAGUUUAAAAAUAUGGAUAUGUUUAAACUAGCAAAUUAAUAUCUAUAAAGUACAAGCUAAUGCAACUUGGAGGGUCCUUCUUUCUUUUAUUUAUUUAUUAAAUACUAUAUUUACAUAGUAUAGCCGUGCGGCUGUACUGUAUUUUUCUUUUUUAAAAAUAGUCUAGCCGGGCGGCUAUACUUUUUGGGGACACGUGGCGCCUAAUCGCUGGAGGCUCCUUUUUUAAGACCAAAAAAUAGUACAGCCGCACGGCUAUACUCGGUGUUUUUUAAAAAGUCGACACGUGGCGCCUUUUUUUAUUAAAAAUAGUAUAGCCGCACGGCUAUACUCAGUUUUAUUUUUUUUUUUUAAAUUUUUUUUUUUUUUUUUUUUUUUUAAUGAAAAGGUAGGCUACACACUUUAAGUAGCAUGGUAUGUAUUUCACUUUUUUAAUUACUUUGAUUAGUAAAGGAGAAAAAGAAGAAGAGAAAAUUGAAUUACUAUUCAUUAAGUAAUAUAAUUCAUGAAGUUAAUUAAAAUAUUUAAUCAUAAUCAGUCAUUAAAUAAAUAAACUAAUUAAAAUAUAAUUGCUAAUUCAACUAAUUAAAUCUCCAAAUAUAUUAUGUAGUUACUAAAAAUAAAAUUUUUAUAAAUUAAUUAACCUAAACAUCCUAAGUUUAUACUUAUUUUUUAAAAUUAAGACCUUUCCCGACGAAAUUUCGUCGGCAAAGAUAUUUUCGUCGGGGGAAACCUAAUCCGGCAAAUUUUGUCGGCAUAGAUCUUUGCCGACGAAAUUUCGUCGGGAGAAGUGUUCAUGUGUUUUUUUUUUUUUUCAAAAGUAUAAAGUUUAAAAAUAUGGAUAUGUUUAAACUAGCAAAUUAAUAUCUAUAAAGUACAAGCUAAUGCAACUUGGAGGGUCCUUCUUUCUUUUAUUUAUUUAUUAAAUACUAUAUUUACAUAGUAUCGCCGUGCGGCUGUACUAUAUUUUUCUUUUUGAAAAAUAGUCUAGCCGGGCGGCUAUACUUUUUGGGGACACGUGGCGCCUAAUCGCUGGAGGCUCCUUUUUUAAGACCAAAAAAUAGUACAGCCGCACGGCUAUACUCGGUGUUUUUUAAAAAGUCGACACGUGGCGCCUUUUUAUAUUAAAAAUAGUAUAGCCGCACGGCUAUACUCAGUUUUUUUUUUUUUUUUUUAAUUUUUUUAAUUUUUUAAAUUUUUUUUUUUUUUUUUUAAUGAAAAGGUAGGCUACACCCUUUAAGUAGCAUGGUAUGUAUUUCACUUUUUUAAUUACUUUGAUUAGUAAAGGAGAAAAAGAAGAAGAGAAAAAUUGAAUUACUAUUCAUUAAGUAAUAUAAUUCAUGAAGUUAAUUAAAAUAUUUAAUCAUAAUCAGUCAUUAAAUAAAUAAACUAAUUAAAAUAUAAUUGCUAAUUCAACUAAUUAAAUCUCCAAAUAUAUUAUGUAGUUACUAAAAAUAAAAUUUUUAUAAAUUAAUUAACCUAAACAUCCUAAGUUUAUACUUAUUUUUUAAAAUUAAGACCUUUCCCGACGAAAUUUCGUCGGCAAAGAUAUUUUCGUCGGGGGAAAC